UCUGUUCAACGGCCGCGGUAUCCUAACCGUGCGAAGGUAGCGUAAUCACUUGUUCUUUAAAUGAGGACUAGUAUGAAUGGCACCACGAAGGUUAUACUGUCUCCUUUUUCUAAUCAGUGAAACUAAUCUUCCCGUGAAGAAGCGGGAAUAAAAAUAUAAGACGAGAAGACCCUAUGGAGCUUUAAACAAACAUACAACUGCCUUCUUUUUAGAUAUUUCAGAAGAAAACCUUUAUUUAGGCAUUUUGAUAUAGAGUUUUAGGUUGGGGUGACCACGGAGUAAAAAACAACCUCCGCAAUGAAAGGGGCUCUUCCCCUAAGCUAAGGGCUACAACCCUAAGAAUCAAAAAAUUGACACCAAUUGACCCA
RNAcentral lists this ribosomal RNA (368 nucleotides) under Leptodactylus longirostris (longnose frog). RNAcentral describes it as "partial 16S ribosomal RNA". It matches the Rfam family "Bacterial large subunit ribosomal RNA", at positions 1919 to 2422 of the family's 2925-position model. The record is from RNAcentral. Lineage: Eukaryota; Metazoa; Chordata; Amphibia; Anura; Leptodactylidae.